RNAcentral lists this ribosomal RNA (169 nucleotides) under uncultured sour cassava starch bacterium J6N6. RNAcentral's name for it is "partial 16S ribosomal RNA". It matches the Rfam family "Bacterial small subunit ribosomal RNA", at positions 366 to 526 of the family's 1533-position model. The record is from RNAcentral.
CGGCAAUGGACGAAAGUCUGACCGAGCAACGCCGCGUGAGUGAAGAANGNUUUCGGAUCGUAAAGCUCUGUUGUUGNUAAAGAACGUUGAUGAGAGUGGAAAGUUCAUCAAGUGACGGUAAACAACCAGAAAGGGACGGCUAACUACGUGCCAGCAGCCGCGGUAAUAA